CGGCGGGCGGGGCGUGGCGCCUUUCCCGUGGUGCCGCGGGAGCGGCGGCCGCAGCGGCCGCGAUUUCGUCCGGGUCCCGCAAGUACCGGGACGGCGGGGCCGGGCGGCGGCCGGGGGACGCGGGAGCGGCCGCGGGGUCGGAGCGCGCCGGGGGGAGGGUGGAGGCGGAGGGACUGAGCCGAGGGGCCCGUACGGGCGGGUGCGGGGCCUCGGCCCGGCCUCUCCGCCGCCUUUGCCGCGGGCCCGGUUCAUUGUCCUUAUUCCCCUCAUCCAUGCCUUUUUCCCCUCGUUCUCCCCCGCUCUCCUCCAGGCUCACUGGAAGGUCCGGAAGUGCCGCCCCCGGGAGCCGUCGGCGCCAGGGCUUUAUUAUAACACCAGGACCUUUUGGGCUCCAGCCUGCAAACCUCUGCAGCAUUGGGACAUGGAGAGAAAGCACAAGCCCUGGCAAAACCUGUGUUCCCACUGGAUUGCCAUGACUCAGUGAACGCCAUUGUGUUGCAGAAAUUCUGAAAUGGAGCCAAGAAAUUCCAAGAUUACCUUCUUAAAAUAAAAAUACCCACUAAACUGCUUGUCCUUCA
RNAcentral lists this long non-coding RNA (578 nucleotides) under Chloebia gouldiae (Gouldian finch). Its description in RNAcentral is "Erythrura gouldiae (Gouldian finch) lncRNA (ENSEGOG00005010061.1)". The record is from RNAcentral. Lineage: Eukaryota; Metazoa; Chordata; Aves; Passeriformes; Passeridae.